Molecule: ribosomal RNA, 553 nt
Filed under: uncultured bacterium
Lineage: Bacteria
Description: bacterial SSU rRNA
Rfam family: Bacterial small subunit ribosomal RNA
Source: RNAcentral
AUUGAACGCUGGCGGCAUGCUUUACACAUGCAAGUCGAGCGGCAGCGCGGGGCAACCUGGCGGCGAGCGGCGAACGGGUGAGUAAUAGAUAGGAACGUGUCCGGGAGUGGGGGAUAACUAGCCGAAAGGUUAGCUAAUACCGCAUAUUCUGUGAGCAGGAAAGCGGGGGAUCGCAAGACCUCGCGCUUCCGGAGUGGCCUAUUUCCGAUUAGCUAGUUGGUGAGGUAAAGGCUUACCAAGGCGACGAUCGGUAGCUGGUCUGAGAGGAUGAUCAGCCACACUGGGACUGAGACACGGCCCAGACUCCUACGGGAGGCAGCAGUGGGGAAUUUUGGACAAUGGGGGCAACCCUGAUCCAGCCAUGCCGCGUGCGGGAAGAAGGCCUUCGGGUUGUAAACCGCUUUUAUUCGGGAAGAAGGAGUGGGGGUUAAUACCCUCCAUGACGGACGGUACUGGAUGAAUAAGCACCGGCUAACUACGUGCCAGCAGCCGCGGUAAUACGUAGGGUGCGAGCGUUAAUCGGAAUUACUGGGCGUAUAGCGUGCGCACGCGG